This is a long non-coding RNA of Onychostoma macrolepis, 1640 nucleotides long. RefSeq lists it as uncharacterized. Lineage: Eukaryota; Metazoa; Chordata; Actinopteri; Cypriniformes; Cyprinidae. The record is from RefSeq and is a predicted model, not a curated record. The transcript has 3 exons.
AGAAACUUCCCGGCAGGUGUGUUGAGGCAAGUUGGAGUUAAACUCUGCAGGACACCGGCCCUCCAGGACCGAGUUUGGGAACCCUUGCAUUAAAACAUUAGUUAUCCUGAACUGAAACGGGAGGAAUUGUGUUCCACUGCAGAAAGAGAGGAGUAUGCUCAGAUAAAGGUCGGGAUUCGUUGAGUUUAUCAAAUAAUCGCACCUUACUGGAGAGAUUCUGUGGAUACUGAGGACUACUUCAAGCAGUUAGAACUGAAAUAUUUUCAGCUUGUGAGAGAUAAUAACUAAAGACUGAAAGUUCAAUGACAACGCCAGGUCGACCUGAAGAGGAUGACAGGCAGGACGAAAACAGCCAGAUGUGCCUAAACUAAAUAAACAUCAUCAUCUGGCCACACUUUUGACAGUAUUGUGCACUGAAGUGAGGGACUACAGGGAUGGAGUAUUAAGAAUUAUUAACAAGUCACAUGGUGUAACAUUUUCCUCACACCUUGAAUAAAUGUCUGUACAAUCUUAAUCAUUUUCAAAAAAGUUUUUGAAUGUAUUGUUUCAUGGUAAAAAUGUUCAUUUUUAAGAAUAAUAACAGUCAAGCAGUUGAGAUUUGUGUAGUAUGUCGCUUAAUAUGCUCAUGUUACAACAAGGAAAUGAUACAAUGUCCUGCACAUCAUGUUUAUUUUAGCAUUUUAUACAAAUCAGAUUGUUUCAAAGCAUCUUCAGAGUGUUUAACAGGAGCUUAACAGAAUCAAUUAUGCAAACCUCAAAAAUGAGGUAAAUCUAAAAGCAGCUGUAUGGAGUUUUUAAUGUUGAUUAAUUAAAGGAGUUUACUUGGGGAUAAUUUUUUAAGACUUACUCUUGGCAUUUUGGCCUUUCUUUUGAUAGGACAGUUAAGUAUUGACAGGAAAUGAAGUGUGAGGGAAAAUAGGACGGGAUCGGGAAAAGUCCGCAAGCCAGGACUCGAACUCGAGACGCCUGAAGAGCAACAGCUUCAUAUAUCUGCACACUGUCCAUGAGGCUACUGGCGCCGACUACCUGAAAGCAAGUUUUUGUUAUGAAGGAUGCAUUAAAACAUUAGUUAUCCUGUAAGUUAUUUAAGAAAAGUCUGGGUCUCGCUGUAUUGCUCAGGCUGCACUGCAGUGUCUAUUCUCAGGUGCGAUCCCACUACUGAUCGGCACGGGGGCUUUGACCUGCUCCGUCUCCGACCUGGGCCGGUUCACCCCUCCUUAGACGACCUGGUGGUCCCGAGUUCCCCCAGGAGCACCAUAUCGAUACCGAACUUAGUGCGGACACCCGAUCGACAUAGUCCACUGCAGCCCAGAAGCCCUGAGCUCAAGCGAUCCGCCAGCCUCAGCCUCCCAGUAGCUUGGAUUACAGGCUCCGCCACUGAACCCGGCGAGAGCCAAGCGUCUCAGCGCUGCUGCUCAACCUGCUGCUCAUAGCGCCCUCUAGUGCAGAUAAACACAACACUACACUCACAUUAGCUGCCUGAGCAGAGCCAACUAGUUAGAUAUCUUUGUUGUAUUUUCACAAGUGUUAGAUUUUCAAAGCUUUAAUCUCCAAGAUAAAGGUCGGUAUUCUUUCAGUUUAUCAAAUCACAACUUACUUUAGAGUCUGUGGAUAUUGAGGACUCAAGCACUGGUGAACAA